Molecule: long non-coding RNA, 4320 nt
Organism: Oncorhynchus keta (chum salmon)
Lineage: Eukaryota; Metazoa; Chordata; Actinopteri; Salmoniformes; Salmonidae
Exons: 4
Source: RefSeq, a predicted model, not a curated record
AAACCAACUGUCAUUCUGAGGACUAAGUUUAGUCGUUACAAAACCAACUGUCAUUCUGAGGACUAAGUUUAGUUGUUACAAAACCAACUGUCAUUCUGAGGACUAAGUUUAGUCGUUACAAAACCAACUGUCAUUCUGAGGACUAAGUUUAGUAGUUACAAAACCAACUGUCAUUCUGAGGACUAAGUUUAGUCGUUACAAAACCAACUGUCAUUCUGAGGACUAAGUUUAGUAGUUACAAAACCAACUGUCAUUCUGAGGACUAAGUUUAGUAGUUACAAAACCAACUGUCAUUCUGAGGACUAAGUUUAGUAGUUACAAAACCAACUGUCAUUCUGAGGACUAAGUUUAGUAGUUACAAAACCAACUGUCAUUCUGAGGACUAAGUUUAGUAGUUACAAAACCAACUGUCAUUCUGAGGACUAAGUUUAGUAGUUACAAAACCAACUGUCAUUCUGAGGACUAAGUUUAGUAGUUACAAAACCAACUGUCAUUCUGAGGACCAAGUUUAGUAGUUACAAAACCAACUGUCAUUCUGAGGACUAAGUUUAGUAGUUACAAAACCAACUGUCAUUCUGAGGACUAAGUUUAGUUGUUACAAAACCAACUGUCAUUCUGAGGACUAAGUUUAUUAGUUACAAAACCAACUGUCAUUCUGAGGACUAAGUUUAUUAGUUACAAAACCAACUGUCAUUCUGAGGACUAAGUUUAGUAGUUACAAAACCAACUGUCAUUCUGAGGACUAAGUUUAUUCGUUACAAAACCAACUGUCAUUCUGAGGACUAAGUUUAGUAGUUACAAAACCAACUGUCAUUCUGAGGACUAAGUUUAGUCGUUACAAAACCAACUGUCAUUCUGAGGACUAAGUUUAGUCGUUACAAAACCAACUGUCAUUCUGAGGACUAAGUUUAUUAGUUACAAAACCAACUGUCAUUCUGAGGACUAAGUUUAGUAGUUGCAAAACCAACUGUCAUUCUGAGGACUAAGUUUAGGCAAAGUGUCUUAUUUUCAAUACAUUUUAUUUUCGCCUGAAUCGUCUUUUCGUCUGGAUUAAAUUCUUGGGUCAUUUUAUACUGUUUUACUUUAGAAAAAACGAACUUAUUUAAAAUAAAACCCAAAGUAUGUUUCUGUAAUUUGUCCAUAAAUCAUAAAAAAUAUAUAUCUUCGUUGAAGUUUACAUUACACUAUAAUAUGUAUUAUGUAGAAACACAGUCUGGACAUGUUGGGGGAAAAAAGUCUGAUUUAAUUUUAAACAUGUUUAUUUUCAGUGUUAUUUAACUCAGACCUUUACAUUACAAGAAAUGGAGAAAUGGAUUAAUUAAAAUAUAAAUAUAUAUAUUAGAAAUGGAUUAGUUAAGAUCUGUUAUGAUAAUUAGAACUUUGUGGAAAUUAAAAUGGUAAAAUGCAUAAUAUCUGAUAACUUUUUUCAAUAAUUAUAAUUAUGAAAUAGAUAUGUACACAUCCUGAUCUCAGCGAUCCAAGAGGACAUUUCAUGACAAAUGACACUUGAGGAAUGUUGUGGUAAAAUAUAACCUUAUUCUAAGAUAGAGACUUUGCUACUGUGGUGUUUUCAUCUGGAGAUAUGAUCAUGUCCUAAAUCAGAUUUUAAAAAAGAAGGAAAAUAGGUAUUUUGUUUAGAUUAUGAGUGUUGAUUAUGUAAAUACACGUAUAAAACCUCUUGUCUUUCAUUGUAUGAUUUUGGAUAUUGCUAAAUGUAAAUGAUUAUAUAAUUUAAAGGAAGUACAGUGUAUUCAGGAAGUACUCAGGAAGUAUUCAGGGAGUAUUCAGGAAGCAUUCAGGAAGCAUUCAGGAAGCAUUCAGGAAGUAUUCAGGAAGUAUUCCGGAAGUAUUCAGGAAGUACUCAGGAAGUAUUCAGGCCCUUUUAACUUUUUACCACAUGUUGUUACGUUACAGCCUUAUUCUAAUAUGGGUUUAUUCUCCCCUCAUCACACAAUGACAAUGAAUAUUGAAAUGAGACCUUCUUGUUGAGUAUCUGAUAAUCUAUGUGUAUAGGAGUGGUUAAAACACGCUCAUAAUGGACCUCUGAGUACAUCAACAAAAAGUUUGAAUUUUUUUUAAAAAACGGGACCUGGAGUUUUCUUAGAGGCUGUAAUUGCAUCAAGAAGUCCCUCUUCUGUAAUUUAAUCCCAUCAGUCGUUCUGUACAGCUCUUCUGUAAUUUAACCACAUGAGUCGUUCUGUACAGCUCUUCUGUAAUUUAAUCCCAUGAGUCUUUCUGUACAGCUCUUCUGUAAUUUAAUCCCAUGAGUCUUUCUGUACAGCUCUUCUGUAAUUUAAUCCCAUGAGUCUUUCUGUACAGCUCUUCUGUAAUUUAAUCCCAUGAGUCGUUCUGUACAGCUCUUCUGUAAUUUAAUCCCAUGAGUCUUUCUGUACAGCUCUUCUGUAAUUUAAUCCCAUGAGUCUUUCUGUACAGCUCUUCUGUAAUUUAAUCCCAUUAGUCUUUCUGUACAGCUCUUCUGUAAUUUAAUCCCAUGAGUCUUUCUGUACAGCUCUUCUGUAAUUUAAUCCCAUGAGUCUUUCUGUACAGCUCUUCUGUCAUUUAACCACAUGAGUCGUUCUGUACAGCUGUUAGUUUUACAUUAUUAAUAGGGGGGGAAAUCCAUACCAUUAGCGUUGGUUAGAGGAGUUGGAGGAGACUGAAAUGAAAACAAAUGCUUAAAGUACUUUGCUUCCUCUUUCAAAAUAUCAUUUGUCUCAAGUUUCAGUAAAUUAUUUUUGGUAGCAUUUCUAUGUUGAAGAUUUUUUUUUGUAUAAUUUGGUGCAUUUUUCCCCAAUAACAUUUGUUAUUGUUACCCAUCUACCUAUCACUGCCCUAAGUGCAACAAAUUAUUUUAUAAUGAGAACUUCGAAAGCUCCCUGGUCUUUGUCGCUGAAUCUGUGCUUGAAAUUCAAUACUUGACUGAGUGACCUUACAGAUGUUGUAUGUAUGGGGGACAGAGGAAGGGAUUAGUCAUUCACUACUAGACUGAGGGACCUUACAGAUGCUGUAUGUAUGGGGGACAGAGGAAGGGUUAGUCAUUCACUACUAGACUGAGGGACCUUACAGAUGCUGUAUGUAUGGGGGACAGAGGAAGGGUUAGUCAUUCACUACUAGACUGAGGGACCUUACAGAUGCUGUAUGUAUGGGGGACAGAGGAAGUUUAAUAUUUUCCUCUAGAUACUAGCUCAACAGCCACAUCAUUCAUUACCAGACCGAGGUCUUGUGCCUAGUUUAAUAUUUUCCUCUAGCUACUAGCUCAACAGCCACAUCCUUUAUUACCAGACUGAGGUCUUGUGCCUAGUUUAAUAUUUUCCUCUAGCUACUAGCUCAACAGCCACAUCAUUCAUUACCAGACUGAGGUCUUGUGCCUAGUUUAAUAUUUUCCUCUAGCUACUAGCUCAACAGCCACAUCCUUUAUUACCAGACUGAGGUCUUGUGCCUAGUUUAAUAUUUUCCUCUAGCUACUAGCUCAACAGCCACAUCCUUUAUUACCAGACUGAGGUCUUGUGCCUAGUUUAAUAUUUUCCUCUAGCUACUAGCUCAACAGCCACAUCCUUUAUUACCAGACUGAGGUCUUGUGCCUAGUUUAAUAUUUUCCUCUAGCUACUAGCUCAACAGCCACAUCCUUUAUUACCAGACUGAGGUCUUGUGCCUAGUUUAAUAUUUUCCUCUAGCUACUAGCUCAACAGCCACAUCCUUUAUUACCAGACUGAGGUCUUGUGCCUAGUUUAAUAUUUUCCUCUAGCUACUAGCUCAACAGCCACAUCCUUUAUUACCAGACUGAGGUCUUGUGCCUAGUUUAAUAUUUUCCUCUAGCUACUAGCUCAACAGCCACAUCCUUUAUUACCAGACUGAGGUCUUGUGCCUAGUUUAAUAUUUUCCUCUAGCUACUAGCUCAACAGCCACAUCCUUUAUUACCAGACUGAGGUCUUGUGCCUAGUUUAAUAUUUUCCUCUAGCUACUAGCUCAACAGCCACAUCCUUUAUUACCAGACUGAGGUCUUGUGCCUAGUUUAAUAUUUUCCUCUAGCUACUAGCUCAACAGCCACAUCCUUUAUUACCAGACUGAGGUCUUGUGCCUAGUUUAAUAUUUUCCUCUAGCUACCAGCUCAACAGCCACAUCCUUUAUUACCAGACUGAGGUCUUGUACUUAAAGGAAUGAUUUCUACCAAAUACAACGCUCUUAGUUACAUUGAUAAGUUGUUAACAUACAAAAACAUUCACAGCCUCAUGAAUGUUUCCAUCGAUGUUAUUCCACCAUGUCAGAGAAAACACAGCUGAUGAAACAGAGGAGUAUUUCUGUCUAUAAUAAAGCCCUUAU